This 381-nucleotide ribosomal RNA is filed under the name uncultured eukaryote. RNAcentral describes it as "SSU rRNA". It matches the Rfam family "Eukaryotic small subunit ribosomal RNA", at positions 587 to 972 of the family's 1831-position model. The record is from RNAcentral.
AGCUCCAAUAGCGUAUAUUAAAGUUGUUGCGGUUAAAAAGCUCGUAGUUGGAUUUCUGUCGAAAACGGCCGGUCCGCUCUAUGAGCGUGCAUCUGGUUCGGUUUUGGCAUCCUUAUGAAGAACGUAACUGCGCUUGAUUGCGUGGUGCGGUAUUCAUAACUUUUACUUUGAGGAAAUUAGAGUGUUCACGGCAGGCAAGCGCCUUGAAUAUAUUAGCAUGGAAUAAUAAUAUAGGACAUGGGUUCUAUUUUGUUGGUUUCUAGAACUUAUGUAAUGAUUAAUAGGGAUAAUUGGGGGCAUUCGUAUUAACGCGUCAGAGGUGGAAUUCUUGGAUUGCGUUACGACGAACUACUGCGAAAGCAUUUGCCAAGGAUGUUUUCA